GUGGGGAAUAUUGGACAAUGGGGGAAACCCUGAUCCAGCCAUGCCGCGUGUGUGAAGAAGGCCUUAGGGUUGUAAAGCACUUUUGGCAGGAAAGAAAUCGCACGGGAUAAUACCUCGUGUGGAUGACGGUACCUGCAGAAUAAGCACCGGCUAACUACGUGCCAGCAGCCGCGGUAAUACGUAGGGUGCAAGCGUUAAUCGGAAUUACUGGGCGUAAAGCGUGCGCAGGCGGUUCGGAAAGAAAGAUGUGAAAUCCCAGGGCUUAACCUUGGAACUGCAUUUUUAACUACCGGGCUAGAGUGUGUCAGAGGGGGGUGGAAUUCCGCGUGUAGCAGUGAAAUGCGUAGAUAUGCGGAGGAACACCGAUGGCGAAGGCAGCCCCCUGGGAUAACACUGACGCUCAUGCACGAAAGCGUGGGGAGCAAACAGGAUUAGAUACCCCAGUAGUCC
This 450-nucleotide ribosomal RNA is filed under the name uncultured bacterium. Its description in RNAcentral is "partial 16S ribosomal RNA". It matches the Rfam family "Bacterial small subunit ribosomal RNA", at positions 354 to 796 of the family's 1533-position model. The record is from RNAcentral.